GGAGGAAAAGAAACCAACUGGGAUUCCCUUAGUAGCGGCGAGCGAAACGGGAAGAGUCCAGCGCCGAAUCCCGCAUUGCAAAGUGCUGGGAAAUGUGGCGUUUAGGAGUGAGCGCGCCGUUUUUGGCUCUGCAGCAAGUCCCUCUGACUGGGGCUACUUUGAUCCAUAGCGGGUGCUAGACCCGUAGCUGCUAGGCCGAUUUCGGAACGCGAUCUCCUUGGAGUCGGGUUGCUUGAGAGUGCAGCCCUAAGUGGGUGGUAAACUCCACCUAAGACUAAAUACGACCGUGAGACCGAUAGCGAACAAGUACCGUGAGGGAAAGUUGCAAAGAACUUUGAAGAGAGAGUUCAACAGUACGUGAAACUGCUUAGAGGUAAACAGAUGGGCCCUCGAAAUCCUGGUGACGGGAGGUAUUCAGUCGAAAGGCUUUUGACAAUCGAACUGGACAUUGUGGAGAACGAGUGCCACUGUGGCCUUUAACGGGUCGUUUUGCGCGUCUCAGCUCUCCCGUUCAAUUCGUUCUCGUCGAAAUGCUUGACGACGCAUUUGCCUUUCCCGUCCAAUGGACGUCGCAACCGGUUGGAAGACGGCCUUAAAGGUGACCUAUGGCAGGUAACUGACGAGAUGAAAUAAAACUUGUUUUUUUUUCUAUCGCGUUAGCGUUAUAGCCGGAAUCAUAUGGUGUCACCGAGAUGGCUCGUAGUCCGACCGUGGUCAAACAAAAAUGACACCCUUCGUGGGUUCAUUAAUCGCCUCCUCUGUAAAAUGAUCCCGGGACCAUGGCGACAAAAGAUUCGAAAGCACACGGAAAGCACACGGACUCGCGACCCGUGGCUCUCCGGAUUUCGGCUUUGUUGGUUGCCUGUGAGCAUAUCCCGUUGGAGGUACGGCGGUUCGCGACGAGUAGAUCGGUCACCCAUCUGACCCGUCUUGAAACACGGACCAAGGAGUCUAACAUGUGUGCGAGUCAAUGGGACUCGAAUAAGCCCAGAGGCGCAAUGAACGUGUAGACUCGACCUUCAGGUCUUGUCCAGUCGAGAUCCGUAGCCUUUAUUUAUAAAGAUGCGGCGCAUCGGCGACCCGUCCCGAUCGGAUUUAUUCGACGGGGCGGAGUUUGAGCACACACGUUGGGACCCGAAAGAUGGUGAGCUAUACCUGGACAGGACGAAGCCAGAGGAAACUCUGGUGGAGGUCCGCAGCGGUUCUGACGUGCAAAUCGAUCGUCGGAUCCGGGUCUAGGGGCGAAAGACUAAUCGAACCAUCUAGUAGCUGGUUCCCUCCGAAGUUUCCCUCAGGAUAGCUGGCGCUCGAAGAUUAUCAGUCUCAUCUGGUAAAGCGAAUGAUUAGAGGCCUUGGGGACGAAACGCCCUCAACCUAUUCUCAAACUUUAAAUGGGUGAGAAGUCCGCCUUGCUUGAUUGAAGGCCGUGACUUGAUGAUGGAUGAGAGUGCCCAGUGGGCCAUUUUUGGUAAGCAGAACUGGCGCUGUGGGAUGAACCAAACGACGGGUUAAGGCAUCCGAUGCUAGACGCUCAUGAGAUCCCAUGAAAGGUGUUGGUUGCUGAAGACAGCAGGACGGUGGCCAUGGAAGUCGGAAUCCGCUAAGGAGUGUGUAACAACUCACCUGCCGAAGCAACUAGCCCUGAAAAUGGAUGACGCUCCAGCGUCGAGCCUAUACCCGUCCGCUGCAGACAAAACUCUAAGUAAUUGGAGAUUUACGUCGCAGUGAGUAGGAGGGUCGCGAGGGAGAGCGUUGAAGGUGCCGGGCGUGAGCCCGCCUGGAGCCUCCCUCGGUGCAGAUCUUGGUGGUAGUAGCAAAUACUCAAGUGAGAACCUUGAGGACUGAAGCUGGAGAAGGGUUCCAUGUGAACAGCAGUUGAACAUGGGUCAGUCGGCCCUAAGGGAUCGGAGAAAUCCGUUCCGAGGCGGGACAUUGAGCUUUUGUACAUUUUUGUGACCAAUGUACGUCCCGCCGAUGACCGAAAGGGAAUGGGGUUAAUAUUCCCCAACCCGGACACGGAGAUAGAGGUGUCUCGCACACCUCAAAUGCGGUAACGCAAUCGAACUCGGACCCGUCGGUGGAGGACCCAGGGAAGAGUUAUCUUUUCUUUGUAAGGAAUCGUGUCCCUGGAAUCGGAUCAUCCGGAGAUAGGGACGCUGUUUCCGUAAAAGCACCGCGGCUCUUGCGGUGUCUGGUGCGCCUCUGCCGGCCCUUGAAAAUCCGAGGGAGAGAGUAUGAUUUUCGUGCCGGGCCGUACCCAUAUCCGCAGCAGGUCUCCAAGGUGAACAGCCUCUAGUCACUA
RNAcentral lists this ribosomal RNA (2302 nucleotides) under Mysmena leichhardti. RNAcentral's name for it is "eukaryotic LSU rRNA". It matches the Rfam family "Eukaryotic large subunit ribosomal RNA", at positions 52 to 1892 of the family's 3401-position model. The record is from RNAcentral. Lineage: Eukaryota; Metazoa; Arthropoda; Arachnida; Araneae; Mysmenidae.